RNAcentral lists this transfer RNA (94 nucleotides) under Deltaproteobacteria bacterium. Its description in RNAcentral is "tRNA-Ser". It matches the Rfam family "tRNA". Rfam says of the family: Transfer RNA (tRNA) molecules are approximately 80 nucleotides in length. Lineage: Bacteria; Pseudomonadati; Myxococcota; Myxococcia. The record is from RNAcentral.
GGAGAGAUGGCCGAGUUGGCUGAAGGCGCUCGCCUGCUAAGCGAGUUUACGGUUAAAAGCCGUACCGAGGGUUCGAAUCCCUCUCUCUCCGCCA